AUUCAGGGCGAACAAUGCCAUCAGGGAGAACCAGAAACUCAGGGAAGAACUCAGGAGAACGGAAACCAUAGUAUCAAUUUAUACCAAACAUCGCUGGUGGAUGGAGGAGCAAGCUUCCAGGUCAUAUGAGAUGAUUAGGUUCACCGAGUACAGGCCUUCACUGAUUCAUCGUGUAGUCAGUGACCGAGAUGCAAUUUUUCUUGGAACUGGUAGUUAUGGGUCUGUUCUUCAGUGCAAAAUUGGUGAGAAGACUGUUGCUGUAAAGAUUCCCAAUAACAGAGACAGCCGCCAACCUCUGCCAAGCAUGCGAGAGUUUAAUCAAGAGGCAAAUAGAAGAGCUCUGAAAAUGCAGGUUGCCAUCCUCAAAAAGAUCCGGCAUCAAAAUCUUGUCACCCUCAUAGGAGCAUGUCCAGAGAGACAGAUACUCAUCUACGAGUUCUUGCCUAAUGGCUCCCUGAAAGAUCACCUCACUGAAAGUGGACAAAGGAGGAGGUUCACAUGGAAAAGACGAGUGAGAGCUGCCUCCAGCAUAUGCUCCGCUCUCAUCUUCCUCCACAACACCGAGCCCAACCCAAUCGUCCAUGGUAAUCUCAAAACGAGCAACAUCCUCUUCAGUAAAGACAAUGUAUGCAAGCUUAGCAACUUUGCCAUGUCCCAUCUGCUGCAAUACACUUCCAAACCUGUCUCGUUUUGGGGUGGUCUUAAGGGAUUUGCAAGAAUGUUGAUUGGUUCUGACACCCACAAGAUUCAGCUAGAUGUGUCCGCUCUGGGCAUUAUACUUUUGCAACUUGUUACAGCACAAAAACCAAAGGAUUUGAGAAAGAAUGUGCUCAGCAAACUAGGAGAUAUUAUACGAUUCCAAGGGAAGAGCAUGGAGCAGCAACAUGAGGUCCUAAAAAGCAUUGUGGAUCCUGACCUGAAGAAAUGCCAGUUAGAUGACGCCGCAGAGAUGCUGUUCCUGGGAUUGAAAUGCAGUGAUCCAAAUGAGAAACAUCGUCCAGACCUUGCAGCUGAUGUGUGGCCACUCAUCGAGGAAAUGAAGAGUAGUGCCUCUCAUCGUCAGGGUUGA
Molecule: long non-coding RNA, 1069 nt
Filed under: Oryza sativa Indica Group (long-grained rice)
Lineage: Eukaryota; Viridiplantae; Streptophyta; Magnoliopsida; Poales; Poaceae
Description: lncRNA OsZS97_11G020390
Source: RNAcentral